GGCCCCGUAGCUCAAUUUGGUAGAGCAGUUGACUCUUAAUCAAUUGGUUGAAGGUUCAAGUCCUUCCGGGGUCA
Molecule: transfer RNA, 74 nt
Filed under: Verrucomicrobiota bacterium
Lineage: Bacteria; Pseudomonadati; Verrucomicrobiota
Description: tRNA-Lys
Rfam family: tRNA
About the family: Transfer RNA (tRNA) molecules are approximately 80 nucleotides in length. Their secondary structure includes four short double-helical elements and three loops (D, anti-codon, and T loops). Further hydrogen bonds mediate the characteristic L-shaped molecular structure. tRNAs have two regions of fundamental functional importance: the anti-codon, which is responsible for specific mRNA codon recognition, and the 3' end, to which the tRNAs corresponding amino acid is attached (by aminoacyl-tRNA synthetases). tRNAs cope with the degeneracy of the genetic code in two manners: having more than one tRNA (with a specific anti-codon) for a particular amino acid; and 'wobble' base-pairing, i.e. permitting non-standard base-pairing at the 3rd anti-codon position.
Source: RNAcentral